This 252-nucleotide ribosomal RNA is filed under the name uncultured bacterium. RNAcentral describes it as "partial 16S ribosomal RNA". It matches the Rfam family "Bacterial small subunit ribosomal RNA", at positions 103 to 354 of the family's 1533-position model. The record is from RNAcentral.
CGGGUGAGUAACACGUAUGCAACCUGCCUGCCACAGCCGGAUAAUCGGGAGAAAUUCCGUCUAAUACGGCAUAAUGCAUCGACGGGACAUCCUGUUGGUGCCAAAGGUNAUUCCGGUGGCGGAUGGGCAUGCGUCGCAUUAGUUAGUUGGCGGUGUAACGGACCACCAAGACGACGAUGCGUAGGGGUUCUGAGAGGAAGGUCCCCCACACUGGUACUGAGACACGGACCAGACUCCUACGGAAGGCAGCAG